RNAcentral lists this ribosomal RNA (253 nucleotides) under uncultured bacterium. Its description in RNAcentral is "partial 16S ribosomal RNA". It matches the Rfam family "Bacterial small subunit ribosomal RNA", at positions 524 to 776 of the family's 1533-position model. The record is from RNAcentral.
UACAUGGGGUGCAAACGUUGCUCGGAAUUAUUGGGCGUAAAGCGCGCGUAGGCGGUUACUUAAGUCGGGUGUGAAAGCCCUCGGCUUAACUGAGGAAGUGCACCCGAAACUGAGUAGCUAGAGUACGAAAGAGGGUCGCGGAAUUCCCGGUGUAGAGGUGAAAUUCGUAGAUAUCGGGAGGAACACCGGUGGCGAAGGCGGCGACCUGGGUCGAGACUGACGCUGAGGCGCGAAAGCGUGGGGAGCAAACAGG